AUUUUUUUUAAAAAAGGUAAACCAAAGGUCUUCAGCUCUAUUUUCUUUUUAAAUUCUAGAUAAGCUGUUGCCAGGUGAUGAAGGAGCCCUUUGGUUGCACCUAAUGCAUUAUUGUGAAGCAUGUACAGCACCCAAAAUGCCAGAGUUCAUUCUGUACACUUUCCAUAGCGCGUACCGGAAACUGCCGUGGAAGGACCUGCACCCUGACCAGAUGCUCAUGGAGGCCUUCUUCAAAGUGGAACGAGGAAGCCCCAAGAGCUGUUUCUUAUUUUUGGGGUCUGUACUCUGUGAAGUCAAUUGGGUUAGUGUGCUCUCUGAUGCCUGGAAUCCCAGUCCCCACCCAGAAACCCGCAGCAUGAUUGUCUGCCUCCUUUUCAUGAUGAUUUUAUUGGCAAAGGAAGUUCAACUGGUAGACCAAACAGAUUCACCUUUACUUAGUCUUCUUGGACAGACAAGCUCACUUUCAUGGCAUCUCGUGGAUAUUGUGUCGUACCAGAGUGUGCUAGGUUAUUUCAGCAGCCAUUACCCGCCGUCCAUCAUCCUGGCAAAAGAAUCUUACGCUGAAUUAAUCAUGAAGCUCCUAAAAGUGUCUGCGGGCCUUUCUAUUCCUGCUGACAGCCAGAAGCAUCUUGACGCAGUUCCAAAAUGCCAAGCUUUUACUCAUCAGAUGGUUCAAUUCCUCAGCACCCUGGAACAAAAUGGAAAAAUCACCUUAGCAGUCCUAGAACAGGAAAUGUCUAAGCUCUUAGAUGAUAUCAUUAUCUUUAACCCACCCGAUAUGGAAAGCCAGACCCGCCACAUGGCCCUCAGCAGCCUCUUUAUGGAAGUCCUGAUGAUGAUGAACAACGCGACUAUUCCAACGGCAGAGUUCCUUCGGGGCAGUAUCCGGACCUGGAUUGGCCAAAAAAUGCAUGGGCUGGUGGUGCUGCCCCUUUUAACGGCAGCCUGCCAGAGCCUGGCGUCCGUCCGCCACAUGGCUGAGACUACAGAAGCCUGCAUCACUGCCUACUUCAAAGAAAGCCCUCUCAAUCAGAACUCAGGAUGGGGGCCCAUUCUGGUAUCCCUUCAGGUUCCCGAGCUCACCAUGGAAGAGUUCCUGCAGGAGUGCCUUACCCUGGGCAGUUACUUGACUCUUUACGUCUACCUGCUUCAGUGUUUAAACAGCGAACAGACUCUAAGGAACGAAAUGAAAGUGCUGCUCAUCUUAAGCAAGUGGCUGGAACAGGUGUACCCAAGCUCCGUGGAGGAAGAGGCAAAGCUGUUUUUGUGGUGGCACCAAGUCCUUCAGCUCUCCCUCAUUCAGACAGAGCAGAAUGACUCCGUCCUGACAGAAUCUGUCAUUCGAAUUCUGCUCAUGGUUCAGAGCAGGCAGAACCUCGUGGCUGAGGAGAGGCUCAGCUCUGGGAUCCUGGGAGCAAUUGGGUUGGGCCGGAAGUCGCCUUUGUCUAACAGGUUCCGAGUGGUUGCCCGAAGCAUGGCUGCCUUCCUUUCAGUUCAGGUUCCUAUGGAAGAUCAGAUCCGUUUGAAGCCUGGCUCUGAAUUACAUCUGACUCCCAAAGCUCAGCAGGCUCUGAAUGCUCUUGAAUCCAUGUCAUCAAGUAAGCAGUAUGUUGAAUACCAGGAUCAAAUAUUGCAAGCCACCCAAUUUAUAAGGCAUCCUGGCCAUUGCCUUCAAGAUGGGAAAAGCUUCUUGGCUCUUCUCGUUAACUGUCUGUAUCCAGAAGUGCAUUAUUUGGACCACAUACGAUAGUAGCACUGAAGCUCUUGAAAAACCCAUUGCUGUUUAUGUUUACAUUUAACUUUCCUGUUGCACAAGUAACUUUGCUCAAUUUCACUGUAGAGCUCAGUUCGGCCCGUGUGUAGUUGACUGAGAUGCAAGUUGGGAGGCAUUAGAUAUUAGAUAAUUCUGAUUUUCCUGUUGCACAAGUAACUUUGCUCAAUUUCACUGUAGAGCUCAGUUCGGCCCGUGUGUAGUUGACUGAGAUGCAAGUUGGGAGGCAUUAGAUAUUAGAUAAUUCUGAGGGGUGUGUGUGUGUCUGUGUGUGUGUGUGUGUGUGUGUGUGUGUGUGCGCGCGCGCUUUCUUAGUUCUUAAGACCUUCUGGAGACUCUUUCGGUUUUUAUAUUUAUCCACAAGAGAAACUUACUAAGUUCCACUUGGGUACAGAGCCACUCACAGUUGCCGAAUGUCUCAGUCAUCUCACAAGACCUCCAGAUGAAGUUCUUUGUAUGUUUCCACUUCUGUCUCCAUUUUAUGUAAGUGUUCCAGAUCUGACAACCUUGGAAGUCACAUAGUACCUUUACUUUUAAACCCCAUUUGUGCUCCUCCAAAGUAAAAAAGUCAAUUUUGAAAAUUUCUGCAUUUCUCAAAUGUGGGGAGAUACAAUAGUUUUAAAGUAUUGUUUUUCUCAGAAGGGAGAUAAAAAUGCUGAGUUCAUUAAACUGGGUCAUGUGUGAAAUAUGACUGAUGAUCAUGAUUAUAGUGGGCAGUAGAGAUGAUGACAAGUCCAUUUCCAUCCAGCCAUGUGUCCUCAUGGAAAAGGAGCUGCCUGUCUGAAUCAGGUUGGCAAGCUGGCAGUCUGGGAGGAGCAUGUUUUACACAGGUGUUUUGUUUGGUCCACUUGGCGAGGCAUGCAGACAGGGCUGCCUCUCUCCAGUUAGGAGAGUCCGUGCAUUCCCUUGGGCCCUGACCCUAGCCUCAUUCACAUCACUUGGUCCUGUUGACACCUAAGUUUGCACUCUUUGAUAGACACCACUUUUGAUAUCUGAAAGGCUCACUGUCAGGAGACAGAGACUGAGGGAGACUGAAGACCUGAUUCUCUGUUCCCUGCUUGUUUUUUAACUUCAUAUUUAAACUCAGAUGAAGCCACUUGUCUACUGAAACACUUAUCUAUGGAAACUGGGUCAGGUCAGGAGAGCUACUGAAAUUUGGCUUUUUUUCAAUAGCCACGUGCCUUCUGUUGUUGACAGUUCAAUCAUUACCAAAGCCUGUGUGUAACUUUGCCUUGUUCUGUGGCCAUCUUCUUGCUCCUGUUAUUUCUCCUGGGAAUGAGCAGUUUGACUUCUGUUAUCACGUUCCUCAUUCUGUCAGCUCUACAUGGAUUUUGCCUGCACAGCUGGCUUAAUAUGUCUUUGUGUAUGGGUAGUUUGUAGCCCUAGAAUAUUUACCUAAAAAUGUCUAAAAAGCCACCAACCACGUUUGUAGGGGUAUAGGGAUGUAGUUAACAGAGUGCUAAUCUCUCCUCAAAUGUCCUUGUGGAAUGCUUCCCCCCAAAUUGGGAAGUUGGUAGGAGCUUUUCUUUACUUUAGAUUUCUUUAGUUGGACGGAACGAUUCUUCCUCACAGACACGCUUUGCAGCUUUGAUAAAGAACAUCCUGUCCAGUCUCUUGAGUUUUACAGGCCACCAAAUGUCCAUCUCAGAGGGACCUGUCUCAGCUUUUCUUAUUUUUGCCUCUCUCUGUUUUCAAAAUUAGUCAUCUUGUUCUGUGUAUAAGAAAAUUUGACAAGCUGUGGACAGUUUAAUAGUCUGAUCUGGCAACACUGAUUUUUGUUUGGAAAUAUUUUGUGUUUUCUUUGAGGAGGAUAUAAUUAUUGCUAUCCUAUGAUGUGAAAUUUUUGAGUGACAGUAUGCACAUUUUAAAGAAAAUUAUGAUUAAUCUGUAUAAUGUUUUUGGUCUGUAAAUAUUAUAAAAAAUAAAAUCAAUCUUUGGUUGUAACUGGUUAAAAACCAAAUUAUAGGGAUAUCACACUAUCUUAUAAAGUGUUUCAGCUGUUAAAGUUGCUGUAGGUUGUUAUGCCUGAUGUCAUUUAAUUUAUUUGACAUUGAACAUUAAUCAUCAGAGAUGGUCAGUGAAAGCGCCUCCUCUUUAACUCUUUCUUGCUUAACCUUGGAAGGUUGACUCAACUCCUAGGUUUCUAUGGGAAACUCUGGGCUAGGAACGUGCUAUAAAGACACUGAGAUAGUUCAGAC
This 3969-nucleotide long non-coding RNA is filed under the name Rhinopithecus roxellana (golden snub-nosed monkey). RNAcentral describes it as "lncRNA (ENSRROG00000045930.1)". The record is from RNAcentral. Lineage: Eukaryota; Metazoa; Chordata; Mammalia; Primates; Cercopithecidae.